Molecule: ribosomal RNA, 622 nt
Filed under: uncultured marine eukaryote
Lineage: Eukaryota
Description: bacterial SSU rRNA
Rfam family: Eukaryotic small subunit ribosomal RNA
Source: RNAcentral
UUAAAAAGCUCGUAGUUGGAUUUCUGCUUGGAAGACCUGGUCUCCUUCUUAAGGAACAAUCAGUGUCGUCUAGGCAUCCUCUGGAAAACGGUAUUUGUGCUUGAUUGCAUGGUUCCGAGUUCCGGACAUUUACCUUGAGGAAUUAGAGUGUUCAUAGCAUGCAAUUGCAUUGAAUAUAUUAGCAUGGGAUAAUAAUAUAAGACUGAGUUUUUAUUUUGUUGGUUUCUAAGAAUUCAGUAAUGGUAAAUAGGAAUUGUCGGGGGUACUCGUAUUAACUCGUCAGAGGUGGAAUUCUUGGAUUGAGUUACGACAAGCUACUGCGAAAGCAUUUACCAAGGAUGUUUUCAUUGAUCAAGAACGAAAGUUUGGGGAUCGAAGAUGACUAGAUACCGUCGUAGUCCAAACCAUAAACUAUGCCAACUAAAAAUCGGAGAGUGAUUAUUUACGUCUUCUUCGGCGAUUUAUGAGAAAUCAAAGUCUUUGGGUUCCGGGGGGAGUAUGAUCGCAAGGUUGAAACUUAAAGGAAUUGACGGAAGGGCACCACCAGGAGUGGAGCCUGCGGCUUAAUUUGACUCAACACGGGAAAACUCACCAGGUCCGGACAUAGUAAGGAUUGACAGAU